AUCCAGCUGACGAGUCCAAAAAUAGAACGAAACACUCAAUCUGCAU
RNAcentral lists this non-coding RNA (46 nucleotides) under Schistosoma margrebowiei. The record is from RNAcentral. Lineage: Eukaryota; Metazoa; Platyhelminthes; Trematoda; Strigeidida; Schistosomatidae.